Molecule: non-coding RNA, 276 nt
Organism: Canis lupus familiaris (dog)
Lineage: Eukaryota; Metazoa; Chordata; Mammalia; Carnivora; Canidae
Source: Rfam
GUGCUUGCUUCGGCAGCACAUAUACUGAAAUUAGAAUGAUACAGAGAGGGAUGCCUGGAUGGCUCAGCAGUUGAGCAUCUGCCUUCGGCUUGGGUAUGAUCCUGGGCUCCCUGCAUGGAGCCUGCUUCUCCCUCUGCCUGUCUCUCUCUGUGUCUCUUAUGAAUAAAUAAACAAAAUCUUUAAAAAAUAAAACAAAAACAAAGUAUGAUCCAGAGAAUACUAGCACGGUUCUUGCAUAAAGAUGCCAUGCAAAUUAGUGAAAUGUACCAUUAUAUU